Molecule: unclassified non-coding RNA, 329 nt
Filed under: soil metagenome
Description: partial contains 5.8S ribosomal RNA, internal transcribed spacer 2, and large subunit ribosomal RNA
Rfam family: 5.8S ribosomal RNA (bases 1-121)
Source: RNAcentral
GAUGAAGAACGCAGCGAAUUGCGAUAAGUAAUGUGAAUUGCAGAUUUUCAGUGAAUCAUCGAAUCUUUGAACGCACAUUGCGCUCCCUGGUAUUCCGGGGAGCAUGCCUGUUCGAGCGUCAUUACAACCCUCAAGCUCUGCUUGGUGUUGGGCCCCGCCGCCCCGGCGGGCCCUAAAGUCAGUGGCGGUGCCGUCCGGCUCCGAGCGUAGUAAUUUUUCUCGCUUUGGAGGCCCGGGCGCGUGCUCGCCAUCAACCCCCAAUUUUUUUCAGGUUGACCUCGGAUCAGGUAGGGAUACCCGCUGAACUUAAGCAUAUCAUAAGCGGAGGA